CUCGCUGGUGUCUCGCACGGCGCGACUGUUGUCGGUGCCGUAGGGAAGCCGUGAAGCGAGCCACCUGGGAAGUACGGCCGCAAGGCUGAAACUUAAAGGAAUUGGCGGGGGAGCACCACAACGGGUGGAGCUUGCGGUUUAAUUGGAUUCAACGCCGGAAAUCUCACCGGGACCGACAGCAAAAUGAAGGCCAGGCUGAAGACUUUGCCUGAUUAGCUGAGAGGAGGUGCAUGGCAAA
RNAcentral lists this ribosomal RNA (238 nucleotides) under uncultured archaeon. RNAcentral describes it as "partial 16S ribosomal RNA". It matches the Rfam family "Archaeal small subunit ribosomal RNA", at positions 763 to 1001 of the family's 1478-position model. The record is from RNAcentral.